RNAcentral lists this ribosomal RNA (253 nucleotides) under uncultured bacterium. RNAcentral describes it as "partial 16S ribosomal RNA". It matches the Rfam family "Bacterial small subunit ribosomal RNA", at positions 524 to 776 of the family's 1533-position model. The record is from RNAcentral.
UACAGAGGGGGCAAGCGUUAUUCGGAAUUAUUGGGCGUAAAGGGCGCGUAGGCGGCCUGGCAAGUGGAAGGUGAAAUCCCUCGGCUUAACCGAGGAACUGCCCUCCAAACUGCUUGGCUUGAGUCCGGGAGAGGUGAGUGGAAUUCCCAGUGUAGCGGUGAAAUGCGUAGAUAUUGGGAGGAACACCAGUGGCGAAAGCGGCUCACUGGACCACAACUGACGCUGAGGCGCGAAAGCUAGGGGAGCAAACAGG